Molecule: long non-coding RNA, 628 nt
Filed under: Sinocyclocheilus grahami
Lineage: Eukaryota; Metazoa; Chordata; Actinopteri; Cypriniformes; Cyprinidae
Description: lncRNA (ENSSGRG00000042717.1)
Source: RNAcentral
UAAAAAAGCAGUGAAGUCUUAUUCUUAGGGUCUGGGGUUUGUUCAACUCCAAGCAACACUUAAAAUCAGAAACACACUUGCUAAGCUACUAACUGUUAAUUUGAUGCCAAACAGACUCAGUGUUGGUGAUCUAAAAAAAAAAGACCUGCUCUGUUCUCUAUAGAGACUGUGGACUUGAUGGACAGGAUGGGAGAGCUGGUGAACUUGGCAGAGAGAGCACAGAGCACCGACCUCGUCAGCAGUUUGCUGAAGGAGAGAGAGAGCUAUAUUCCAUUACGUGUAUCACGAGGUGAAGGCAGUGAAGGUCCAAAGUAUACUGCAGUGUAUGACUUUGGGACAAGUUACCCUGAGCUAGCAGAGAUUCUGAGAAAACUGUCAAAUCCUUCAAAGGAGAAGGACAAAAGGGGUGGAGCAUCUAAAAGGGGAGGAGUCAGUCAAAACCGCAUCAAAGCAGCUAUCAACUUUAAGAAAGCCAUCACAACACCUCGGAGCUGAAAACACUCUCUUACUAUUUCCUUGUGUUCUUUAACAAUGUUGUAAAUAUUUUAUUUAUAGAAUUGGUUAUGUCAUAUAAAUCAAUGUGAAGAAUAAAUGUUGUUUGUGUAUAUACACAACCAUUCAAAAGUUU